CCUACGGGGGGCAGCAGUGAGGAAUAUUGGUCAAUGGCCGGAAGGCUGAACCAGCCAUGCCGCGUGAAGGUCAGUGCCCUAUGGGCGUUAAACUUCUUUUGUGCGGGAGCAAUAAUGGUCACGUGUGGCCAGACGAGAGUACCGUACGAAUAAGCAUCGGCUAACUCCGUGCCAGCAGCCGCGGUAAUACGGGGGAUGCAAGCGUUAGCCGGAUUUAUUGGGGUUAAAGGGUGCGUAGGCUGUGAGGUAAGUCAGCGGUGAAAUGCCCCCACUCACCGGGGUGAAGUGCCAUUGAUACUGCCUUGCUGGAAUGCGGAUGCCGUGGGAGGAAUGUGUGGUGUAGCGGUGAAAUGCAUAGAUAUCACACAGAACACCGAUUGCGAAGGCAUCUCACGAAUCCGCGAUUGACGCUGAUGCACGAAAGCGUGGGUAUCAAACAGGAUUAGAUACCCGUGUAGUC
This 460-nucleotide ribosomal RNA is filed under the name uncultured bacterium. RNAcentral's name for it is "partial 16S ribosomal RNA". It matches the Rfam family "Bacterial small subunit ribosomal RNA", at positions 338 to 795 of the family's 1533-position model. The record is from RNAcentral.